UACGGGGGGGGCAAGCGUUGUUCGGAAUUACUGGGCGUAAAGGGCUCGUAGGCGGCCAACUAAGUCAGACGUGAAAUCCCUCGGCUUAACCGGGGAACUGCGUCUGAUACCGGAUGGCUUGAGUUUGGGAGAGGGAUGCGGAAUUCCAGGUGUAGCGGUGAAAUGCGUAGAUAUCUGGAGGAACACCGGUGGCGAAGGCGGCAUCCUGGACCAACACUGACGCUGAGUGAGCGAAAGCCAGGGGAGCAAACGGG
RNAcentral lists this ribosomal RNA (254 nucleotides) under uncultured bacterium. Its description in RNAcentral is "partial 16S ribosomal RNA". It matches the Rfam family "Bacterial small subunit ribosomal RNA", at positions 524 to 776 of the family's 1533-position model. The record is from RNAcentral.